RNAcentral lists this long non-coding RNA (435 nucleotides) under Homo sapiens (human). RNAcentral's name for it is "HSALNT0310220". The record is from RNAcentral. Lineage: Eukaryota; Metazoa; Chordata; Mammalia; Primates; Hominidae.
GCCCCACCUUCAACACUGGGGAUCAAAUUUCAAUGUGAGACUUGGAGGAGCCAAACAAACCAUAUCUAAACCAUAGCAGUGGCAUCCUUUGAACUCACGGAUCCAGUCAUAACUGAAGUUCCAUCUACACCUGGGGUCUUCAGACCCAGGCUCUGGAAAAGAUCCUGUUACUUACAAGCAAAAGAAAUUCUGCCUCUUACCCUCAGCAUGUGAGUACUCAGAAGACAGCCGUCUGCAACUCAGAAAGAAGUCUCACCAAAAACUGAAGCCUACCAGGACCUUGAUCUUGGACUUCCCUGCCAGCUAGAACUGCUAAAAUGACGACCCCAGACGCUGGAGACAGAGAGGUGGGCAGCACCUGCAGUUUCCUGGCGAAACGAGGUGACAUGAAGAAGAAAGAGAGAAAAGUGGACAUCUCCUUUUGUGAUCCCAUCC